AUGGAACGCUGGCGGCAUGCCUUACACAUGCAAGUCGAACGGCAGCACGGGAGCAAUCCUGGUGGCGAGUGGCGAACGGGUGAGUAAAGUAUCGGAACGUGCCCAGUCGUGGGGGAUAACGUAGCGAAAGUUACGCUAAUACCGCAUACGAUCUAUGGAUGAAAGCGGGGGAUCGCAAGACCUCGCGCGAUUGGAGCGGCCGAUAUCAGAUUAGGGAGUUGGUCGGGUAAAGGCUCACCAAGCCGACGAGCUGUAGCUGGUCUGAGAGGACGACCAGGCACACUGGGACUGAGACACGGCGCAGACUCGUACGGGAGGCAGCAGUGGGGAAUGUUGGACAAUGGGCGAAAGCCUGAUCCAGCCAUGCCGAGUGCAGGAGGAAGGCCUUCGGGUUGUAAACUGCUUUUGUACGGAACGAAAAGGUUUGGCCUAAUAAGCGGAGCUCAUGACGGUACCGUAAGAAGAAGCACCGGCUAACUACGUGCCAGCCGCCGCAGUAA
This 500-nucleotide ribosomal RNA is filed under the name uncultured bacterium. RNAcentral's name for it is "partial 16S ribosomal RNA". It matches the Rfam family "Bacterial small subunit ribosomal RNA", at positions 31 to 523 of the family's 1533-position model. The record is from RNAcentral.